This is a long non-coding RNA of Capsicum annuum, 933 nucleotides long. RefSeq lists it as uncharacterized. The record is from RefSeq and is a predicted model, not a curated record. NCBI's taxonomy places the organism in Eukaryota, Viridiplantae, Streptophyta, Magnoliopsida, Solanales, Solanaceae. The transcript has 4 exons.
UGGUUAAAAAUCAAACCAUGAACACCUUAGGCUACACAUCUCACUCUUCUUUUUUCGCAAGGAGUAUUCACAGUUUAAUUGUCAAAUUGAAGGUUUGUUGUUCAGGUUGUCUCGGAACGUAGUUCGAUUGUACAAACUUUUUGUCCAGCUUCGAUGUGAAGAGCAUAUGAACAUUUACAAUCUAAGUGCAAAAUUGAUAGUUUGCCUGUCCAGUUUAUUUUGUGUCCGGCAGUUGUUCUCGAGAUGCAAAGUUGAGUCAUUCUCUUAAGCUACUACAAAUUGAAGCAAAUAUGCAUUUAAUGGUGAUGAAUGUGAGAGGGCUGAUACACAUCAAAAGUGUACCACCUGCAUAGGUAACUCGAGGAUGGGCCAAUCAUAAAAAUGCUCUGCGGUAAAGCAAACCCCGGCAGCCAAAAGAGGAAGCGUAAUUCACUAAGAAUUAUGUGAGAAAAUCUGUAAGGAAGCAGGAGACACAUUGAUUACUUAGGUCUGCCUGCUUCAAUCAUACCGGCAAUCAACCUCCUUAUUAUUGCUUCACUGGUUGGAAGCAAUCAUGGCAGUUAUGAAAUUACGAUUUCCAUUCCGCCAAUGUACUGGAGUACUUUUGGCAUUAGCUUUCCUGAUAAUACAUACAGAACAUCCUAUGCUCUCAACAUAUUAGAGAUUGCCAUUAUCACGCAUUUCUGUUGAACCUCCUAGAAACUGCCAUGCAUUAUCUGUUGGAUGUAUGCAUGUAUACAUUGAAUAUUACAAAAAAAAAAUAAAAAAUUGUAGUGAGUUAUGUUACAAAAAAAAAAGUUAUAGUGAGUUAUGUAACAUUUUUGCCCACUUUAAUUCAUGAUGUACAUUAUUUCUUUGGCUCUAACUAAAACAUAUCAAAGCAUAAGAAAUUGAUAACAUCAAAAACUGAUAAAUCAUUUGGUCCGUGCAAAG